AUGGUGAUGGUGGAUGGCAGCUUGGACGCAGAGAAGAUCGCAGGGUAUUUCAAGGGCAAGACCAUCCUCAUCACCGGCGCCACUGGCUUCCUCGGAAAGAUUCUUGUGGAGAAGAUACUCCGGGUGCAGCCAGACGUGAGGAGGAUCUACCUGCUCGUGCGAGCCAUGGACGCCCACUCCGCCAAGCAACGCGUCGAGGCAGAGGUGACAGACACUGAGCUCUUCUGCCUCCUGAAAGAGAAGCAUGGCAAGGGAGGAUUCGAGCUGUUUGUGGAGGAGAAGGUUGUCCCUUUGGCCGGUGACGUCAUCUUCGAGAACAUGGGGCUAGAUGCUCCCAGGUUGGAGGAGCUGGCCAAGGAGGUCGACAUCAUCGUCAAUGGAGCUGCAACAACCAACUUCUACGAAAGAUAUGACGUUGCGUUGGAUGUGAAUGUGAUGGGGGUGAAGUACCUGUGCCAGUUCGCCAAGAAGUGUGCCAAUCUCAAGAUGCUCCUCCAUGUUUCCACCGCAUUUGCAGCCGGCGACAGGGAAGGGCUGAUCAUGGAGAGGCCGUUCAAGAAGGGGGAGACCCUGAGGGAAGGCACCUACCUGGACAUCGACGCCGAGCUGCGGCUGGUCGGCGACGUGAAGAAGGAGCUAGAGCGGCAGGACGGCGGCGACAAGACGAAGAGGGAGCGGAAAGGCAUGAAGGAGCUGGGGCUGGAGCGCUCCCGCCACUUCGGGUGGUCCAACACGUACGUGUUCACCAAGGCCAUGGGCGAGAUGCUGCUGGGGCAGCUCCACGGCGCCAUCCCGGUGGUGAUCCUGCGGCCCAGCAUCAUCACCAGCAUCCUCAGGGACCCCCUCCCCGGGUGGAUGCAGGGGACCCGGACCAUCGACACCAUCAUCAUCGGCUACGCCAAGCAGAACCUGUCGUGCUUCCUGGCGGACCUGGAUCUGACCAUGGACGUGAUCCCGGGGGACAUGGUGGCCAACGCCAUGAUGGUGGCCAUGGUGGCGCACUCGGAGGAGCAGGGCGCGGAGGUGAUGUACCACGCCACGUCGUCGCUGCGCAACCCGGCCCCCUACGGCGUGCUCUACGAGUCCGGCCGCCGGCACUUCUACGAGAACCCCAGGCUGAGCAAGGACGGGCAGGUCAUCCCCACCAAGGAGAUGCACUUCUUCAAGACCAUCGCCAGCUUCCACUUGUACAUGCUCAUCAAGUACAAGCUGCCACUCGAGAUCCUGCACCUGGUGAACCUGCUCCUCUGCGGCCUCUUCUCGCAGCUCUACGACGACCUCACCCGGAAAUACAAGUUCGUCAUGCAUCUCGUCGACGUCUACGGGCCCUUCGCCUUAUUCAAAGGAUGCUUCGACGACAUCAACUUGGAGCGGCUGCGAUUGACCAUGACCAAGACAAGCCCGGAGGACGACAUGUUCAAUUUUGAUCCCAAGACCGUCGACUGGAACGACUACUUCUACAAAAUCCACAUACCGGGUGUCCUCAAGUAUGUGCUCAAGUAA
RNAcentral lists this ribosomal RNA (1503 nucleotides) under Triticum aestivum (bread wheat). RNAcentral's name for it is "partial small subunit ribosomal RNA". Lineage: Eukaryota; Viridiplantae; Streptophyta; Magnoliopsida; Poales; Poaceae. The record is from RNAcentral.